CUGGUUGAAAAGGCUCGCGGAUCCGGCCUUGUCGGCCCUUAAAGCGCUCCUUGGGCGGCCUGGCCUCGGCUCCCCUCCCGAGCCGCGCAAAGGAAGCUGCUUCUGGCUCUCGUCGGCUCCCCAGGUUUGCUUUCUUUCUCUUCCCGAAGGUGGGCCCUGGGGUCCGCCGCCGCGAAGCCUGCGGCUGCCGGGAAACCCAAACCCGAGUGUCCGAAGACUAACCGGAAGUGCGGUCCUAGGCGGAGGGGCGGUGCCUGCGGCCGCCGGGGAGAGGGAAGCAUUGAGUAUUGUGAAUACUUACAGACUAGAGACUUUUUGAAGCCAAAGGAAGGCCAUCUUCAAUCUUUGUUAAUGAAUGCUGUCUUCCUUGAGAAAUCAAAUUCUUAGGACCAGGAGGUAAAUGCUGCUUUCUUUCCAGUUAGAUUCUAG
RNAcentral lists this long non-coding RNA (429 nucleotides) under Canis lupus dingo (dingo). Its description in RNAcentral is "lncRNA (ENSCAFG00020002508.1)". Lineage: Eukaryota; Metazoa; Chordata; Mammalia; Carnivora; Canidae. The record is from RNAcentral.